CGCAGACGUUUAAGGCACGUUUAUACCAGUUCGACGCUUGCUUUCAUGCAGUUCUUCUAGCGCUACCAUUGUCAUCCAAGCUGUCAAAAGCCAAAGGCGCAUUGACAGCGCAAAUACAAAUCGUAAAAUAAACAAACAAAACCGCUUUGUGAUAUUUUACAUUUUAUUACUAAAACCAGUUGUUAUUCGUUGGGAUAUCAUCGUAUCCAUUUUGUUCGAGCAUUUUGCUGAAAGGAAAACAUAAAGGAAAAAUGUCCCGGGAAUCGGUAUCUCAGGCACCGGAUUGUUCGCUUCUUGCGUUGGCGGCUAGGUUGGCACAGUUAACGAAUAAAUCCUGUCCGCCAGUAUCGUCAGUAUCAAAGCUACUGCAGAACCGUCAUCCUUCUAUAGGAUUAAAAAUAAUGCUUUGAUGGAAACUUCAGCUAAAAUCUCCAAGCCAGCAACUUCCAGAACAGCGCAAUCCAUCAUCAUUCCAGUCCGAUUAACUGUGAAUAGAUUUUCGCAGCAAAUAGCAUCACCACCGGCAGCUUAUAAUUCUGAAAUAAAAAAGAAAAAAGGUUAUCGACCAACACCUGUAGUUAAAAAUCCAUCCAAUCCCGAACCAGCAUCAAACAUCAUCAAAGAUAUCUUCUUCAUACAGCAUAACACUGCCAGGGUUUGGAACUUCCUCCUUAUCCUCUUCCCUUGGUCCAAAGUAGUUCGGCAUAGUCCAUAGGCCAUCGUCAGUCCAGGUUGGCAUUGUCCACCGGUGUGUUCGUACCUUGUUUUCCUCCUUCCCAACCAAACCCAGUAUCGCGUGCAGAAGCUGAAAUUAAAACGUAAAGGAAAAAAUGUCUCGGGAAUCGGUAUCUAAGGCACCGGAUUGCUCGCUUCUUGCGUUGGCGGCUAGGUUGCCA
Anopheles moucheti is the source of this 896-nucleotide long non-coding RNA. RefSeq lists it as uncharacterized. NCBI's taxonomy places the organism in Eukaryota, Metazoa, Arthropoda, Insecta, Diptera, Culicidae. The record is from RefSeq and is a predicted model, not a curated record. The transcript has 4 exons.